RNAcentral lists this ribosomal RNA (367 nucleotides) under uncultured bacterium. RNAcentral's name for it is "bacterial SSU rRNA". It matches the Rfam family "Bacterial small subunit ribosomal RNA", at positions 434 to 793 of the family's 1533-position model. The record is from RNAcentral.
CAGUAGGGAGGAAGGUAGUGUAGUUAACACCUGCAUUAUUUGACGUUACCUACAGAAGAAGCACCGGCUAACUCCGUGCCAGCAGCCGCGGUAAUACGGAGGGUGCGAGCGUUAAUCGGAAUUACUGGGCGUAAAGCGCAUGCAGGCGGCCUGUUAAGUCAGAUGUGAAAGCCCGGGGCGUUAACCUCGGAAUUGCAUUUGAAACUGGCAGGCUAGAGUCUUGUAGAGGGGGGUGGGAAGUUUCAGGUGUAGCGGUGAAAUGCGUAGAGAUCUGAAGGAAUACCAGUGGCGAAGGCGGCCCCCUGGACAAAGACUGACGCUCAGAUGCGAAAGCGUGGGGAGCAAACAGGAUUAGAUACCCUGGUAG